Molecule: long non-coding RNA, 837 nt
Organism: Leopardus geoffroyi (Geoffroy's cat)
Lineage: Eukaryota; Metazoa; Chordata; Mammalia; Carnivora; Felidae
Exons: 3
Source: RefSeq, a predicted model, not a curated record
UGUCUUUCUUAGCGCCUCCCUGAUAGGCCUUGCUGACCUUCAAAAGCAUUCAAUUUUCUUUACCUUUGUUUUUUGGGCUGGCUUUGCUGGAGGCUGACGGAGGCUGAUAGCAAUCAGAACGUUUUUCAUUUGGCAGCUGAGAUUUUUCUUCCUUUUUUGAAUUCAAAUCCUCCGGAGACAGGAGUUGCCAGGACUCAGUCUGAUGCUCAGACCACACCCGCCACUGUAAUGAAAAGGGUUCCGGGGGCUGGGCAGCGGCUGCAGCCUGUACUCCUGGGGCUCAAUCUUGGCAUCCGCCUCAAGCUUACAACCUGUAUUUCAAGGACCUAUCACCUGAGAGCCUUGCCACCAUUCUUGGCUGACCUGUGAAGCUGAUAGAUAUUCUGAAUGCACUAGAAAAAGAAAGAUGCCUCAAAAUCAAGAGACCCACCCAUCUACGUCUCUACCUUCCUCCUAACCCCCAGACAACACCACAGGAGACCACCUUGAGGAAGACACAGGAGGAGAGAAAGCAGGCAAUAUGAGCAGCUUACCCAGGAGCAUACUGUAGGUAUGGUAGUUCCAAUGGAUUGCCAUCCAGGUGGCGGCAUCUCUGACCCAGGAGUAGAACCUGCAAGAAAGACACCAAGGAGUGAUGAGUUCCUCUACAGAAAUGGACCAAAAGAGAUAUCACCCGAGAUUUUCCAAGGUGACCCAUGCCAGAUUUUCAAAUGUAAAAAAUUAAAUUAGUAUCCAUGUUCUAAGGGACUCUUGAAAUUAUUUCUGGAUAAGGAAAUAAUUAACUUCAUUGUGAAUGAAAUCAAUUAUGGUACUCAAAUAAAAUGUGAGGCUCACUUC